RNAcentral lists this ribosomal RNA (429 nucleotides) under Actinomycetes bacterium. RNAcentral's name for it is "Actinobacteria bacterium partial 16S ribosomal RNA". It matches the Rfam family "Bacterial small subunit ribosomal RNA", at positions 355 to 776 of the family's 1533-position model. Lineage: Bacteria; Bacillati; Actinomycetota; Actinomycetes. The record is from RNAcentral.
UAGGGAAUCUUCCACAAUGGGCGAAAGCCUGAUGGAGCAACGCCGCGUGAGUGAUGAAGGCCUUCGGGUUGUAAAACUCUGUCAUUCGGGACGAACCGGAGUCUGAGGAAAUGCAGACUCUCUGACGGUACCGGAGGAGGAAGCCCCGGCUAACUACGUGCCAGCAGCCGCGGUAAUACGUAGGGGGCAAGCGUUGUCCGGAUUCACUGGGCGUAAAGCGCGCGCAGGCGGUGAUGUAAGUCUGAGGUGAAAACCCGAAGCUCAACUUCGGGACUGCCUUGGAUACUGCGUCACCUGAGGAUAGGAGAGGCAAGGGGAAUUCCACGUGUAGCGGUGAAAUGCGUAGAGAUGUGGAGGAACACCUGUGGCGAAGGCGCCUUGCUGGCCUAUUUCUGACGCUGAGGCGCGAAAGCGUGGGGAGCAAACAGG